This is a small nucleolar RNA of Hibiscus syriacus, 107 nucleotides long. The record is from RefSeq and is a predicted model, not a curated record. Lineage: Eukaryota; Viridiplantae; Streptophyta; Magnoliopsida; Malvales; Malvaceae.
AAUCCAUGUACAGGAAACUUCUGCGGUAAUUCUUUAAAUCUUUCCCAUGCUUCAUACAUGCUUUCAUCUUCCAUCUACUUCAACGAAGUUAAAUCAUUUCGAAGCUU